This 1851-nucleotide long non-coding RNA is filed under the name Papio anubis (olive baboon). Its description in RNAcentral is "lncRNA (ENSPANG00000050160.1)". The record is from RNAcentral. Lineage: Eukaryota; Metazoa; Chordata; Mammalia; Primates; Cercopithecidae.
AUGGAAUGGAAAUGCAAUCCAGUUCCUUCCAGACUGAAGCAGGAGAAUCACUUGAACCCGGGAGGUGGAGGUUGCAGUGAGCCAAGAUCGUGCCACUGCACUCCACACUCCAGCCUGGGUGACAGAACGAGACUGCGUCUCAAAAACAAAAACAAAAAACGACAGUCUUAAACUAAUGUGUUUGACUAAGAUGGAUAACAGGGAUUGGAUUUACACUUCCACUUUAAACAACUAAAAACUUGACAAAAUAUAUGAAAUAAGUGUUUUCAGACGUAACAUAGUCAGCACAGGGCAAUCACGCUUGAGAGAGGAAACAGAUGAUUGCCCGGCUGAGUUCUAGGAGCGUUUCCAGGCCACAGCAAAGGGAGGGGGGAUGUGUGGAGCCUGCUUGUCUCCCUGAGUUGAGGUAGCGUUGGGAGUUUGGGGAGGCCCAGGUGGCUAGCGUUUGCAGGGCAGAGUACUGGGGAGGACAGAGUUACACACAGAGAGACCCAGACAGCUGCAGAAGGCUCCCUUCAAGUCUUCAACUGAAGACGAAUCAGCAAAGGCAUGUAUAGAAACUGUCAGGCCGCUGAGCCCAACCUAAGCCAUCAUUAUCCCCUGUGACCUGCAUGUGCACAUCCAGGUGGCCUGAAGCAACUGAAGAUCCACAAAAGAAGUGAAAAUAGCCAGGUCCUGCCUUAACUGAUAACAGUCCACCAUUGUGAUUUGUUCCUGCCCCACCCUAACUGGUCAAUUGACCUUAAGACAAUAUACCCUCCCCGCCCUUGCAGUAACGUACUUUGUGAUAUUCCCCCGCCCUUAAGAAGGUACUUUGUAAUAUUCUCCCACCCUUGAGAAUGUACUUUGUAAGAUCCACCCCCUGCGCCCCAAAAAAUUGCUCCUAACUCCACUGCCUAUCCCAAACCUGUAAGAACUAAUGAUAAUCCCACCACCCUUUGCUGACUCUCUUUUCGGACUCAGCCCACCUGCACCCAGGUGAUUAAAAAGCUUUAUUACGGCGGGGGGCGGUGGCUCAAGCCUGUAAUCCCAGCACUUUGGGAGGCCAAGACGGGCGGAUCACGAGGUCAGGAGAUCGAGACCAUCCUGGCUAACACAGUGAAACCCCGUCUCUACUAAAAAAAAAACACAAAAAACUAGCCGGGCGAGGUGGCGGGUGCCUGUAGUCCCAGCUACUCCGGAGGCUGAGGCAGAAGAAUGGCGUAAACCUGGGAGGCGGAGCUUGCAGUGAGCUGAGCAACUAAGUCUCAAAAAAAAAAAAAAAAAAAAGGCUUUAUUGCUCACACAAAGCCUGUUUGGUGGUCUCUUCACACGGAGGCGUGUGACAGAAACCACUUGAGGCUGGGCGUGGUGGCUCAUGCCUGUAAUCCUAGCACUUUAGGAGGCCAAGGCAGGUGGAUUACCUGAGGUCAGGAGUUCGAGACCACCCUGACUAACAUGGUAAAACCCUGUCUCUACUAAAAAUACAAAAAAAAUUAGCCAGGGGUGGUGGCGGGCACCUGUCAUCUCAGCUGCUUGGGACGCUGAGGCAGGAGAAUCGCUUGAACCCGGGAGGUGGAGGUUGUGAUGAGUCGAGAUUCCAGCCUGGGCAACAAGAGUGAAAACUCCGUCUCAAAAAAAAAGAAAAGAAAAGAAAAGAAAAGUAACCACUUGAAGCUGGAGAAAGAAUCCCCUCAAAAGAAUCAUCCCUAGAGCUCACACAGGGCUGGGGAUCGUUCACAUUCCCACCAGGCAGAGCGGGAGCACCUCAUCCUGUCCAGGGCAUCCAGCAGAGUACUCAAGAGUUUUCGCCUCAGAAAUGGUGAGAAAACUGGCUCUAGAUAAUAGGCUGCUUUAAUUCCACCUAAUGAA